Molecule: small nucleolar RNA, 82 nt
Organism: Coffea eugenioides
Lineage: Eukaryota; Viridiplantae; Streptophyta; Magnoliopsida; Gentianales; Rubiaceae
Product: small nucleolar RNA R21
Exons: 1
Source: RefSeq, a predicted model, not a curated record
CAUUCCUAUGAAGAUUGCAUCUGUAUUUUAACGUUAAAAGUAGACUGAAAGUCAACUGAUGACAAAUCAAUUCUGAGGGAUG